AGUGAACGCUGGCGGUAGGCCUAACACAUGCAAGUCGAACGGCAGCACAGUAAGAGCUUGCUCUUACGGGUGGCGAGUGGCGGACGGGUGAGGAAUACAUCGGAAUCUACUUUUUCGUGGGGGAUAACGUAGGGAAACUUACGCUAAUACCGCAUACGACCUACGGGUGAAAGCAGGGGAUCUUCGGACCUUGCGCGAUUGAAUGAGCCGAUGUCGGAUUAGCUAGUUGGCGGGGUAAAGGCGCACCAAGGCGACGAUCCGUAGCUGGUCUGAGAGGAUGAUCAGCCACACUGGAACUGAGACACGGUCCAGACUCCUACGGGAGGCAGCAGUGGGGAAUAUUGGACGAUGGGCGCAUGCCUGAUCCAGCCAUACCGCGUGAGUGAAGAAGGCCUUCGGGUUGUAAAGCCCUUUUGUUGGGAAAGAAAAGCAGCAGGUUAAUACCCCGCUGUUCUGACGGUACCCAAAGAAUAAGCACCGGCUAACUUCGUG
Molecule: ribosomal RNA, 492 nt
Filed under: uncultured bacterium
Lineage: Bacteria
Description: partial 16S ribosomal RNA
Rfam family: Bacterial small subunit ribosomal RNA
Source: RNAcentral